AGCUUAUAAACUAAACAGUCUGUGCUCUAAAUAAAUAAGUGUUCUUCAUCCUCAGCCAUCCAGGAAAUGCAAACUCAAACUUCUUUGAGAUUCCGACUCACACUAGUCAGAAUGGCUGUUAUUAAUAAAGUGAGAUAUGCUGGUGAGUAUGCAAAAUGGUACAUCUUCUAUGAAAAUUAAUGUGAGAUAUCUCAAAAGUCUAAUACUAGACAUAAAAAACAAAUUCCAGAAUAACUCAAUUAAGUCCCUUCCAAUCAGUAGGUUCUUUAAGUGAAAUUCAUUAAUGUUCCAGUGAAAAGAUACGAGCAAAAUGGAUUCUCAAACUCGGAAUCUCUUAUGUCUCUGAGAGACUCUCAUCAGUACCGAUACAAAAGGUUCGAAGGCAGUGGGAAAUGAUACUCUAUGCAAAUGAUAGUUAAAAUCAGAUAAAGAAAUAGACUGGAAGACAAAUAUCAGCCAGUAGGUUUUACACUUUGUUAUAUAAUAGUACACCAAGAAUAAAAUAUGCAUUUUCCCAAAAUCACUUGUAAUAUUCUACUAUGGAAAUAAUUUUUUCACAAAUCUUAAUUUUUUUAAAAAAGUGGAAUCAUACAUUUUUUUCCUAAUUGAAAUAGGACAAAACUAAGUAUUCAGAAAUUAGAAACUUUGAAAAACUUAGUCCAGCUGUGGUGACACAUGUCUUUUAUCCCAGCACUGAGAGGCAGAGACAGAAGCAGAGGCAGGAAGAUUUCUGUGAGUUGAAGCCCAGCCUGGUCUACAUGGUAUCUCAGGUUAGCCAUAGCUAUACAGAGGAUCCUUUUCUUAAAAAAAAAAAAGAAAAAACAUGGAAAAUCACGUAACUUAACACAUAGAAUGGAGAAAGAAAACCCCCACAAGGUGUUCUCAGUUCGGGGGUGGGGGGCUAGAAAAUUGAAGAAACUGAAUAGCCAGUCUUAAUAAAGAUAAAAACUCAACAUGCCUUGAAACUCAAGAGCUUCUACUUAUAUGUUUCCAAGGGCAUCUCUGAACAGCAUGCAACUAAAGUAUUUCAACUGUGAAGGACAGAAUGCAAUAUAUGAGGAACUCUCACGUUCACCACUUAUUUCUCCAUCCUGUAGGUAAUUGAAACAGGAGAACCGGUUUUUAGAGACAAUCAGAUUUGAUUAUUGUAUCUAGUUGUGUCAGUCUCCCCCUAAACACACACCAAGAUGAUGUGAAAUUCUAAUCUCAGUACUUCAGGGUGUGAUUUUAUUUGAAAACUCUUGAUAGAAUUAUAGUCAGGUAAGAUGAGAUGAUAACCAAGAUGCUAGACUUCUACUUCAAUAUAGUUUAUAAGAAGACAUUCAUGUGAGAACAGACAUGGAGGAUACUUUCAGGAAACAUAUGCUUGUGAAGAUGUAUCUACACUCCAAGGAAUUCCAGCAAAUCUCCUAAAGCCAAUUGAUCGAACAAAUGAUUUAAUGUAAAGACCUCAUACAAAACAUGGUUUUCCUGAGAGUUUCACUUUUAACACGUAAUUUCUAGAAUUUUAAAACUAUUUUAAUAGUUUUAUUACUUGUAGUGAUCUAUUUCUAUAACUUGUAGCCAUCCACUUUGUUAGUUGCUUUGUUAUAGAAGGCCAAGGAAACAAAAUGAGCAAUCAGCUUUAUUAAAUACACUGUACAAAUCAUGGUAAUAAUUAUUUAUUAAGAAACUUUUAAUCUAGAUUAUAAUAGAUGCCACUUUGCACCUCCCAAAUACCCAAAUUAACUGUUUAGGAAGAUGUAGGGAAAUCAGAUUCUUCAUAUACUGUUAGUGAGAAUGCCAAGUUGGUCUACUAUAGAAGUAACUCAGUGAGACUUCAACCAUAUGCACAUAUACUUACCAAAUGACCUAGCAACCAAAUCUAUUACUUGAUUUUUGUUAAAAGAAUUAAAAAUCAUUUAGGCAAUACACACACACACACACACACAUAUCAAAGUAUAGCACUCACAAAUACUAGCUACAUAGAAUAAGCCAAAUAUCCAUUUAUUGUUGGGACAACUAUAAGACUAAGCCAUAAUAUUGGGGUGAAUUACUAUACAAUUCAUAGCACGAAUGAACCUUGGAAACACUGCUAAGUGAAAGAAGUCAUAAAGAAAGCCACAUGUUUCAAGUCUGUUAUUCUAGUUUCAUUUCUGUAGGUUGAUAAAAUAUCCUGACAAGACAACUUUAAGGGAGAGAACAUUUUUUUUUUAUCAUGUUGCAGUCCAUCAUUGCAGGAGAUUGACAGAGCUGGUCACAGCACAUCCACAGACAAAAGCAGAGUGAAAUAAAUACAUGAAUGCUAAGUAUUUACAUAACUUUCAGAGAAUGGUGCCACCCACAACAGGCAAGUUUACCUACUCCAAUAAACACAAUUGACAAUAGACCAUAGACAUGCCUAUAGGCCACUCUGAUCUAGAUAAUUCUGAGAAUCUCAUCCUACGUGAGCCUAGGCUAUACCAAAUUGAAAAAAGGGACUACUACUUUCAUGAUUAGACUACUACUUAACAGAAGGCCUAAGAAAAGGACAAGAUGUGAGUGAAGUAAAUGCUUAAUUGUUUGGAGGUUUUUCUUGAAGAAAAAAUGUGGAACUAAGUGGUUGUGAUUGAUAACAGACAUUGUUAGCUUGACUAGUAUCUUAAUUAAGAUUUCCAUUGCUGUGAAGAGACAUCAUGACCAAGGCAACUCUUAUAGAAGACAUCUAAUUGAGGAUGGCAUACAUUUUCAGAGGUUGAGUCCAUUAUCAUCAUGUCAGGAAGCAUGACAGUGUGCAAGCAUACAGUAGGUCCUUAGGAAUGAGAAUGGGAUGCUAUGAUGAAUAGUUAUAUGUUUGGGUUUUGGGUGUCCAGUUGAUAGGUUGUGAUGAUCAACAUUCAUUGUCAACUUGACUGAUUUUAAGGCCACCUGGUAGCAUGCCUCUUAAUGUGGUAGGUUUCAGAAAAAUUUAACAGACCAGGAGUGACUCUUCCUAAAUGUUAAUGAUACCAUCCAGUGGACAUGAGCCAAUGGGAUGGAAUUCUGGACUAAAUCAAGUAUAAAGUCAACUGAGAAUAAAUGUUCAUAGAGUGCUUAGCCAGUAAUACAUAUCAAAAUAAUUUUAAAUAUUAUUUUUCAGAAAGAUUAUCUCCAUCUUCAUGACAUAAAACCUUUAAUUAUGAUAUGAUAAAGGAAGAGUAUCAUAGAACAACACAAAUGUAAAGUUUUGUAUAUUACACUGCAUUCAUUAAGAUAGUACCUACUUUUGAUCUUGCCUUUGAAAUAAACCUAAGUAAUGGAUACUACCUAAAACAGGCAGAUUUUUUAAAAUCCAAAAAAGAAAAAAAAAAAAGUAUGUGUUUUUGUUUGUCUGCAUUUUUAAGCUUUGAAAAACUAUUUUCUAGCCAGUUCCCCUUAGAUGUAUAAGAUUUUUGAAAGACUUUUUGUCUGGCUCCAGUUUUCAAAUCAAGACUAGGAUAUCUAAAGACAAGUCAACUGAUGCUUAAAGUUUCCACCUUCUGGUAAUAUCAAGAGCAAUACUUCAACAAGAAUGUGCCAGCUCACUAAAGAACUCAGGAAAUCAUGAUGGCAUUCACCAGCUUUGGGUGGUGCAAGUUGCUGACAAGCUCUUAUCCUAGGUGAAGAAAUGGUGUAACGUUUCUGUAUAUAUACAGUUUUUGCUUAAAUCUAAACUUAAAAAUAUUCAUGUUUGCACUAUGCUAAAAGGUAAAAUGGAUAGACUGAGUACCUCACUUGGAGGAAAUACAAGAUAUAUAAACAGCGUAUGAUGGCCACACUUGUAAUUUCUCCAAAUUAAAAUUGUUCUUGAUCCUCACUACAUUACAAUGUUGAUAAAAGUAUAACAUCACAUGUCUAAAGACAAUCAUGAAGAGAUAUGUUUAAAAGCUGAUGGGUUAUGAUGCCAGUCAGUCAACUUUCAAAAUUACUCAUCUUUUAACUUUGGUAGUUUCAUGUUCAGCUACAUAUGUAAACACAAACAAUAUAAUGAAUUCAUAAAAUUUCUUGACUAUCGACGUAUACUUUGUAGGUCUCUUGGAGGAAUCAGCAUAAUGUCAAUACAAAUUAAUCAAAUUAAAAAGUUAAAAAAAAAAUGAAUACCUAUUUCUUCGAAGCAUACAACUCUAGUAGUAUGGUGAUAUCUCUCAGGGGCAGUACAAAUACAAAAGCCCUGGAAAUAUUUUAUUUCCCUCCCCUGGUCCAUCCUCAGACCAGUAUUCCUUCACAUCAACCUCAGGAAUUCCAAAUUCUCAGUGACAAAGAGAAAACCUGCCACCACCCACACUCACUAUUAAUUAGGAAUUGCUUCUGCCUUGGUGUAUGCUACCUGAUUUACAGAAGGGCCUCGAUUGAUUCCAUCCAUUAUAGAAACUGCUGUUCAUUGACUUGGCUGAGAAAGUGAUACCACAUUGGUACCCAUUUUCCCUAGCUGUGAUAUUCUUCUAGGAUCUUAAGAGUAAAAACAAGGAGGCAAGCUACAAAUCUUUGAGUUCUAAUAAUAUUGGGUAUUGAAUUAUCAUCGCAUGGGGCACUUAAAUUCAAAUCUAACUCAAGGAAGCAAGCUAAUUCUUUGCUUGUAAAUACAAACACAGACCCUCUUUAUACCCACUUCCAAAAUUUAUCACCAUUAUGCCUGCCUAGUCUAGUAAAAAAUUAACUAAGAAGUAAUGUUACUAUAGUAUCCUGUCUCAUUCCUUUUAAUUCCAAUAUGUGACUGUAAUGCUAGAAGCCUAGGACACCAUUUGGAGUCAGUGUGCACCCAGAUUUUAUACCAGAGUAAGUGUGUAUUUCCCUAUAUUUUCAAAUAUAGCUGAUAUUUAUUGAAAGACCUAUAAAGAACUGAGUGAUCUUCAGAAGUUAAUAUGUUAAACUGAUAUGGUUGUUAAAGAACAAUGGCUGCAGAUGAGUUCUAGUUUUCUGAUUUUACAUUAAUUGCAUUCAAAUGUCAAAUCCAAAGAAACCUUUCGUUCACUGUAUUCCACCUGCAUGAGGUUGAAUUUAGCAAUAGUUUAGCACUAAGACUGGAGUGGGAAUAUCCCAUUUCAUUUAUCAUGGGGAAGUACCAGCAGUGGCCCAUCUUUUGACACUGUUUUUUAUCACAUCUUUUAGCAGAAAAUGUGUAACUAUGUGAAUAUAUGUGUAGUAAUACUGUCAGCAAUGAGAUGAAAGAAAGCCCACGUAGAAACCAGGUCUAGAAUAGAUGCUCAAUAGUUACAAGUAUGAAGAGGAUAGUGUCAAGUUGGGUAGCAAUCAUGAAGAAACACUGAGUCAGAACAUGUACUCUCAAUAUUUUAUAAGAAAAUAAUCACAGGUCCUACAAGUACAUUAUAUUGCACCAAACAAAGGAAAUACUCCACAAAAUUUACAAAACAAAUAUUUUUUUAAAAUGCUGUUUGACCAAGCCAGCUCAGUCAGUCAACAAGUUCUCCAGUGCAGGAGUGAAGACUGAAAAGAAAGAGACAAAUUAGACAGUGCUGCAGUGUGACCCCAGUCAAGUCUGAGACUGAAGGCAAAUUUUUAUUUUCCAACCCACUUUUUAUACCAUUUUAAUUACAUGCAAGUAUUUUGGGCAAGCAGUACUCUAAGGAACAAACAAAGCAGCAAUUCCUGAAAUUACUUCCAUGACAGUUGUUAGAAAGGACUUGUCAUAAUGACUGAAAUACUUGAGCCCACUUCCUCGUCCAAGCCCAAAAUCUUGCCUGAAGCAUAGUCCCUCCCUAAGACUAAAAUUCCUGCCUUACCCUACUCCUCUAUUUCAGCCUAAAGUUAGAUUCUUGCUGAAACUUCCUUAUUAUGCCCUAGUUUCAGAUUCCUGCCUGAGCUUACUUCCUUGCCAUGUCCAAUGUCAGAUUCCUGUCUGAAGCCCACUUCUUUGUCCUUAGCCAAUGUCAGACUCCUGCCAAGUGGUACCCCAAAAGGCUUUCCACAGCUGUUGCACUGGGUACCAAAAAAGGUGCUGAAAGAAGAACACUAGAAGAAAUUUACAUAAGGUGCUAUCAACCACACUCAGACCUGUAUUGACUAUGACAAUCUAUUCUAAAGACAUUCAAAUUCAAGGAGGUGAAGGUGGUAGCUGCAUUUUUUUAAGCUACUACAUCAAGAAUGUAGUAACAGACCACUGGCUGGGUGCAAGUAUAUGUCUUCGUCUCAAGUCAGUUGCUUGUUGGGCCUUUCUGAGUGCAGUCAUGGCAGGCUCCCAUCUGUAAGCACACCACAGCAUCAAUAAUAGUGUCAAGACCUGGUGCCUCCCUCUGAAAUGGAUCCCAAUUUGGGCAGGUCACAGCACCUCUUUUCCCCCCUGUCUCUUCUCCAUUUUUGUUCCUGCAGUUCUUCCAGACAGGAAUAACCCCUAGUCUGAAUUCCUGACUGUGGGAUGGUAACCCUAUCCCUGUCUUUCUUGGAGGUGGACUCCACAAGUUCCCUCUCUCCAUUGUUGGGCAUCUCGCCCAAUGUCCCUCCCUUUAAGUCUUGAGAUUCACCUCCUAGACUCUGGUAUAUUUUAGAGAGUCACGCCACCUCUCCAGGGACCCUUAUGGGUGAAUAGGGGAAAGGCUGAAAGAAGUUGAGGAGGAGGGCAACUCCAUGGGAUGACCAGCAGUCUCCAUGAACAUGGACCCCCAAGAUCUCUCAGACACUGAGCCACCAAUCAGACGACAAACACUGGCUGGUCUGCGGCCCCCAACACAUAUACAGAGGAGGACUGCCUUGCCUGACCUCUGCUAGAGAAGACAUACCUAGCCUUGAGAGACUUAGGGACCUAGGGAGUGGAGGGAGGCCUGGCAGGGUGUUGGGGGGACAUCCUCUUGGAGACAGGGGAGGAAGAAUGGGAUGAGGAACUGGAGGACAGACAGGAGGGGGAUAGUGACUGGACUGUGAGGAAAGAUUAAAGAUUAAGAAAAAAAAAAGAAUAUAGGAAGAAAAGCUAGUACAUCAAAAUGAGUGCUGUAAUGUUUAUACAAAAUGGUUCUCUAAGCCUAUUUCUUCUUUGAUAUUUUCAAUGACAGAGAAUAGAUUCAUUUUCAUUUUAGGUUACCUUCCACUCUUCUUGUCUAUGUGAGGUGAUUUAAGUUUUCCUUAAUAAAUUCAGCUUCCUAAUUUUUAGAAAAUGUUUAUUACAGUGUUCUGCUUUUGUGUUUUGAGCUAUAUUUUCUCUGAUCUGAUUUCAAGUGUAAAUAAAACAAGCCUGUCGUGCUCUGAAAUGUGUGUGUGUGUGUGUGUGUGUGUGUGUGUGUGUGUGUGUGUGUGUGUGUGUAGCAAUAAUUACAGAAGAUCAAGAGUUUGGGAGGUAGGGUGAGGGACAUGGGAGGAGGUAGAAGGAGAGAACGAAGAGAAGGAGGGAGAAGAUGAUGUAAAUAUGAUGCAAUGUAGGUAAUUUCUAAAUGUAGACCAGAAGAAGGAGGAGGAGGAGGAGGAGGACAACAAGGAGGAGGAGUAAAAGAGCAACAACAACAACACAACAGAAGGAAGACAAGGAGGAAGAUGAGGUAGAGGAGGAGAACAAGAACAAGAAGAGCAAGAAGAAGAACAAGAUGAACAAGAACAAGAAGAACAAGGAAAGGCUAGAGAAAUAUCUCAAAGGUUAAGAGCACUUGCUGCUCUUCCAGGUGGCAUGGAUUUGAUUCUCAGCACCCCAUCAGCACCUCACAACACUCUAUAACUCCAGUUCUAUGGAAUUCAAUGUCCUCUUGCUUCUACAGGAAUUAGGCCUAUAACUAUGCCACAGGAAUACAUGCAGGCAAAACACCCAUACAUAUA
This 7731-nucleotide long non-coding RNA is filed under the name Mus musculus (house mouse). RNAcentral's name for it is "long non-coding RNA chr8:39170132-39177863". The record is from RNAcentral. Lineage: Eukaryota; Metazoa; Chordata; Mammalia; Rodentia; Muridae.